CUGGCUGUCGGGCAGCGGCGGGUCCCGGCCCUGCGCGCGCCCGGCCCCUCCGAAGGGCCAUUGUCCGCUCCCGCAGGACACGGUGCCCCGUCGGCGGACCCCGGAGCCGGAACCCGGGCUGCCCAACGCGCGGAGGGGACGCGGCGCCCGGACUCCGAGGUCGAGCACAUUUCGGUCACAUCUUGGCUUUAGGCCCCUAGAUCGACGGCAUAGAUUAGAUUAAAAUGAAAAUUAGCGUUGCACGUAUGCAGAUUGCAUCAGAAUCUCGCAGUGAUUUAGUUUCCUGGGUUGGUUGCAUUGAUAGACUCUUUUUUUUUUUUAAUUUGUAAUGGGAGUUGUGAGCUGAUUUGCAUAACUUUGGAAGCAGAAUCGUUGUCAGCACACGGGGCGUUCGUUGGAGGGCACAAAAAGUAGGUUCGUAUGUGUUCAAGCCGAGUUGAAUUACAACCUGGAACUGCCUCUCCCAAGUUGUGUAGUUUGCGAUCAACAGUGUCACAGGUAACAGACGUCCUAAGCCGCUCUUGCUGCUCGGUCUUUCUGAAAUUUGCCUCCCCCCCCCCCCUUUCCUUGAUGGGGUGAUCCAGGACAGGGCAUGAGAUUUUGCAGCUCAGCCGCAUUUUAUGUUCAGUGGUCUUGUCUCACGUAGCAGAAUGGGGAUUAACUGCUUCUUGAUUGCGGAGGAGCGUGUUGUGUGGGUUCUGGGGUAUUGUGUGCAGCAAAUCGUGAUUGCAGACAUGAAGCUUCAGUUCUUCCUUGAAAUACAAGUGUCACUGCGACUCCAGAACUGGUGCUCACCUCAUCCAGCUUUCAGGACUCCUGACACCUCGUGAUGUCCGUUAAUUGCACUCGGGCUCGGGUGUAAGGUCAGGUGUAAUUUACCAGCUAAUCACCAGCAACGCAGGCAAGAGCUGAUCACUCCAGCUUCGCAUGGUGUAGAAUGGAAAGUAUCACAGACGUUCAGCGUUCCUGCUUAGGCCAGUGUCUAAGGCAUGAAAACAGAAUUGACUUGUGGGUCUGAGAUGCCCGCAGCAUCUUAUUAACAAGGCCUCUGUUAAGGCCAGAAGUUUGGUGAUGUGAAUUAUGACAGUGGACGGUAUUUAGUUCAAACGCGAUUGCAUCUGUUGUUACUGGAGGAUUCUUAAUAAAGCUCGUUUUUAGCCAACACCAGUAAACAUUUUGCCUAAAGGUGGAGUGGCGCUGAAGGAUCCAUAUGUCCUGCUAAACACUGUGGGGAGGAUUUGGUUUUUGAAGAAAAUGCUUUACAUCUGAAGAGGUUUUUUUUUUUCUAUAUUCCCUUUGGAUUACAUAGCAGCACAUAAACGUGCACAGCUAAUUCUACCCAAGUGUCUGUUUUGAGAUGAAGGUAAAAGUCACCGAAGAAGGAGCUUUCUAGCACACAAAACUCUACAGUAUUCUGUGGUGUGAGAUGGGAUUGUUGUAGCACUUAAAUCAAGACUGUCCAACAUGAU
This is a long non-coding RNA of Nyctereutes procyonoides (raccoon dog), 1469 nucleotides long. RefSeq lists it as uncharacterized. The transcript has 3 exons. NCBI's taxonomy places the organism in Eukaryota, Metazoa, Chordata, Mammalia, Carnivora, Canidae. The record is from RefSeq and is a predicted model, not a curated record.